This 226-nucleotide ribosomal RNA is filed under the name uncultured bacterium. RNAcentral's name for it is "partial 16S ribosomal RNA". It matches the Rfam family "Bacterial small subunit ribosomal RNA", at positions 124 to 334 of the family's 1533-position model. The record is from RNAcentral.
CCUAGCCCUUCAGAGGGGGACAACAGUUGGAAACGACUGCUAAUACCGCAUACGAUCUGACCUCGGCAUCGAGGAUAGAUGAAAGGUGGCCUCUAUUUAUAAGCUAUCACUGAAGGAGGGGAUUGCGUCUGAUUAGCUAGUUGGAGGGGUAACGGCCCACCAAGGCGAUGAUCAGUAGCCGGUCUGAGAGGAUGAACGGCCACAUUGGGACUGAGACACGGCCCGG